RNAcentral lists this ribosomal RNA (446 nucleotides) under uncultured bacterium. RNAcentral describes it as "SSU rRNA". It matches the Rfam family "Bacterial small subunit ribosomal RNA", at positions 26 to 518 of the family's 1533-position model. The record is from RNAcentral.
AGAACGAACGCUGGCGGCAGGCUUAACACAUGCAAGUCGAACGAACGUAGCAAUACGUUAGUGGCGCACGGGUGAGUAACGCGUGGAUAUCUGCCUUUUGGUUCGGGAUAACCUUGGGAAACUAGGGCUAAUACCGAAUGGUUCCUACGGGAUAAAGAUUUAUCGCCAAAAGAUGAGUCCGCGUCCGAUUAGCUAGUUGGUGGGGUAAUGGCUCACCAAGGCGACGAUCGGUAGCUGGUCUGAGAGGACGAUCAGCCACACUGGGACUGAGACACGGCCCAGACUCCUACGGGAGGCAGCAGUGGGGAAUAUUGGCAAUGGGGGCAACCCUGAUCCAGCCAUGCCGCGUGAGUGAUGAAGGCCUUGGGUUGUAAAGCUCUUUUGGCGGGGACGAUGAUGACGGUACCCGCAGAAUAAGCCCCGGCUAACUUCGUGCCAGCAGCCGC